Small nucleolar RNA from Ornithorhynchus anatinus (platypus), 138 nucleotides. Lineage: Eukaryota; Metazoa; Chordata; Mammalia; Monotremata; Ornithorhynchidae. The record is from RefSeq and is a predicted model, not a curated record.
UCCCUCUCAGGGUCGCACCUGGAGAGUUUCCAGGACUCUACCAGUCUCGGUUACAGAAGGGAGGGUGACGCAGAGGCAGAUCCAUUCCGUUCCUAGCUUGGGCAGUGGCUAGCAAGGGGAAGGCAAUCUGCUACAGGU